Regulatory RNA element from Lachnospiraceae bacterium 28-4, 167 nucleotides. The record is from Rfam. Lineage: Bacteria; Bacillati; Bacillota; Clostridia; Lachnospirales; Lachnospiraceae.
UCGCGCAGGGAAAUGAGAUUUUCUUAAUAUUCCGUUCUGCAAACAGCAAUUUGGGGACAUGGAUGUCCCCAAAAGCCGGCGAUGAGCCAGGACGGCGAAUAGCCGGCGGUUGCGUCCGAUAACGUCUGUUUUCCCGGAAUAUUUAGAAAAUCCAUUUCCCGAAGCCG